RNAcentral lists this ribosomal RNA (501 nucleotides) under uncultured bacterium. RNAcentral describes it as "partial 16S ribosomal RNA". It matches the Rfam family "Bacterial small subunit ribosomal RNA", at positions 29 to 523 of the family's 1533-position model. The record is from RNAcentral.
AUUGAACGCUGGCGGCAUGCCUUACACAUGCAAGUCGAACGGCAGCACGGGUGCUUGCACCUGGUGGCGAGUGGCGAACGGGUGAGUAAUACAUCGGAACGUACCUUAUCGUGGGGGAUAACGCAGCGAAAGCUGUGCUAAUACCGCAUACGCCCUGAGGGGGAAAGCGGGGGAUCGAAAGACCUCGCGCGAUUAGAGCGGCCGAUGCCUGAUUAGCUCGUUGGUGGGGUAAAAGCCCACCAAGGCGACGAUCAGUAGCUGGUCUGAGAGGACGAAGAGCCACACUGGGACUGGGGAACGACCCAGACUCCUACGGGAGGCAGCAGUGGGGAAUUUUGGACAAUGGGGGCAACCCUGAUCCAGCAAUGCCGCGUGGGUGAAGAAGGCCUUCGGGUUGUAAAGCUCUUUUGUCAGGGAAGAAACACCGGCUCUAACACAGUCCGGGAAUGACGGUACCUGAAGAAUAAGCACCGGCUAACUACGUGCCAGCAGCCGCCGUAA